UACAGAGGGUGCGAGCGUUAAUCGGAAUUACUGGGCGUAAAGCGCGCGUAGGCGGCUUUGCAAGUCGGGUGUGAAAUCCCCAGGCUUAACCUGGGAACUGCAUUCGAGACUGCAUUGCUAGAGUAUGGGAGAGGGAAGUGGAAUUUCCGGUGUAGCGGUGAAAUGCGUAGAUAUCGGAAGGAACAUCAGUGGCGAAAGCGACUUCCUGGACCAAUACUGACGCUGAGUGAGCGAAAGCCAGGGGAGCAAACGGG
RNAcentral lists this ribosomal RNA (254 nucleotides) under uncultured bacterium. RNAcentral describes it as "partial 16S ribosomal RNA". It matches the Rfam family "Bacterial small subunit ribosomal RNA", at positions 524 to 776 of the family's 1533-position model. The record is from RNAcentral.